Long non-coding RNA from Gallus gallus (chicken), 8292 nucleotides. RefSeq lists it as uncharacterized. Lineage: Eukaryota; Metazoa; Chordata; Aves; Galliformes; Phasianidae. The record is from RefSeq and is a predicted model, not a curated record. The transcript is spliced from 18 exons.
ACACUUUGACUAACAUGUUGCUGUGAACAGGACCUGGAAAUGAGCCUGGAGUCCAGUGGUACUAGAAGGAAACCACAGCACAGCUGGAAGAGGCAGAACGUGAGAAAUCCAUGGAUACAGGCAGUCCUGCACAGCAGUACAGUGUGAGCAUGGUGUUGACAUUCCCCACAGUGAAGCGGGCAUCCAGAUGUGCUGGAAAAAGAUCACAUCCCCAUUUUCUAUAAGUCCUACUUCCUGCCUGAUCAUUCUCAUUAGCUGCUCCUUUCCCAAGAGCUCCUUGAGCUACGUACCCCUUCGUCCACCAAUCUCUCCAGGCCUUCUGUCCUUACCUCUUUGGCCCCCACCUGCUGACACCCUGCUGGCAGCCCUCACUGGCUGCUCCAGCUAAUCCUUUCAGCACUGAUGACUGAGUGACUUCCUUAACAUCCCCUGGCUAUAGCAGGACCCAUGGAGCAACCAGAGAGUAAGAAGUACUGCUGAACGGGUGUAGUUGAAAGGUAUCAGUGUACCUGCAUGCAACAUUAACGUUUCCUCCCCACUCUGGAAUAAUUGCUUUUGGUGGAAGUGCCCCCAAGAACAACCAACUGUAGAGCACAAGUCAAACAUAUUUCAGGCCUGACCACCAGCUGCUCGUGCAGCAGGGUGUUUUCUCUUGGCAGUGAGGCCUGUGAGUGUCAGUGAGCAGGAAGGUGCCUCUUGAUCCUGCACACAGCAGGAGGGAUUCCAAUUCAUACCAGCCAGUGGACAUUCUUCCAGGCUUCAUCCUUGAUUUGUAUGAGGUCUCAGCUUGGCCUUUGGAGUCUUGGCAAAAGCAUCUAUGUUCCCUGGGCCCCACAGUGCCUGUUCCCAUCCAGAGUGGGCUUCUCCCCCAGUUACUGUUGGAGCCAUUAUUUCACUUAUAUGUUACACAGACAGUUUAGUCUCGAACACAUUCCUAAGUAAAAGGAUCAGCCACCCCAAGAAAGAGCAGAGGGCAGGAUAUAGUCAGACACUUUCUCAGUGUUUUUUUAAGUGCUUGUGUGUAAUGGAGUUGAACCUAUUCAUCUGCUAAGUCCAGAAAAGUGGAAUAGAAUUUGUGAUUCUGAUAGACUGGGAAGAGCAUUCCCUGAGGGAUUUGCAGCAUGCCAGUGUUGUUAUCAGCCAUGCUGCCAGGCUUAGCAGAACAUGCUUGUAGAGAUCAUUGUGUCCUGUGAAUGACCAGUGGAUAGUGUGACAUGGAAGAUGCGGCCUCAAGCUGGUUUGUACCAAAGCAGACUUGACAAAGAAUGCUGGUUUCUGAAGUGGCAGCUACAGCAGAAACGAGAUGUUAGUUUGUCAUCAAAACAUCCAUAUCCUUCCAGAGUCCAUGAUUUGUUUCACACAGUGGAUUUCUUGUCACAGCAUUAAUGGGUGUUGUCUCCCACGGGUGGGGCUUUGUGGCACUUCAUAGGUGAAAAAAUAAAGUCCUUGUAAACUUUGAUUUAAGUAACCAGUUGGGUUGCAUUUGCUCAGCACUGAACCAAGGAAGGAGCUUAGAGAUGAAGCAAAAUAAUUUUCAUUAUGAGCAGAGGCAAGAUAUGUUUGAAAACACCCAAGGCAAGAAGUGCAGCUUCCAAAUGGUGCUGUCAGUUAUGCUACAGUUAUUUGUUAUGCGUGCUGAGAGAGAUGUCAUCGAACCUCAUGGGCAGCGUGACAGAGAAUGCCUACAAGUUCAACAGUGUUUCUGCUUCCCUCUGUGUAAAAGGAGACCUCCCAGGAAUGCUGGCCCCAACCAAACAGAAGUGCUGGCACACUAAUCCUUCGGAGAAAAACUCCUCUUCCCUGCCUUUGUGCUGAACCACAGCUGAUUGCUUGCUCAAACCUGGAUAUGUGAUUGACCUUACAUGGCUUGCUGCAGCCCAAGCUCCACUGAGCAUCUCACUGGAGAAGAACCAGAUCAGCUAACCAGACAGCACUCCAGAGAGAAAUUUUAAAUUUGAAACAUACUGUGGAAAACGGAUUGAAAAUUCCAGCUGACAGAAGCAAUCCCUUCUAGAUAAAUAGGAUUUUACUGUUUAUGCAUCAGCAUGGCAUUGGAAAAAUGCAGAUGGAUAGUGACUCAAGGUGGAUAACAAGAUGCAUUGCCAGCAGAUGAAGAUUAAAAGCAUUAUGAAGAUUAUGAAGAUUAUGAAGAUUAUGAAGAUUAAAACAUUAAAAGUAAAUGUUAACUUUCAUGACUCCAAGUGAACUACUGAUACCCCUCUCAUCAUGAAGCCUAUAAAACUCACAGGAUACAGCUAAUAGCCCCUUCUGCUGAGCCCUGAGAUGCUGGAGAAUGUUCAGAGCUACUCAGCUUCUGCUAGGACAUUCCAAGAGGAGUCUUUGUGCCCUUGGAUCCUUAAUGAACAGACUGACAAUGAAUGUGUAGCCUCAUACCCCUGAGUAAAAUCGGACCUCUCAGGAAUGCUGGCAUGAGACAAGAAGAAAUGCCGGAAUACUAAUUCUCUGGUGCAAAGCUCCUCAUCCCGACAUUUCUGCUAAGAUGUGGCUGAGCAAUGGACAUUGGAGAUGCAAAUGUCACAGCGAACUGUAUCUGGGCAGUGGGUGCUGUUUGAGGAGACAUUCAGAAUGCCAUUUUCAUCAGAUGACAAAGCAGGCGAACAGCUCCAGUUACAAAGCAGCACUGUGCUGACCUCCGGGAGCUGCUGGUAUGAGAAGGUGGUGGUGUCUACUCUGCUGGAGCUGUAAGAGCACUGUCAUAAAACCCUAACAGGAAGGCUCAGAGCCUGGAGUCCAGUGGUACUAGAAGGAAACCACAGCACAGCUGGAAGAGGCAGAAUGUGAGAAAUCCAUGGAUACAGGCAGUCCUGCACAGCAGUACAGUGUGAGCAUGGUGUUGACAUUCCCCACAGUGAAGAGGGCAUCCAGACAUGCCAUCCAGACAUGAAAACAGAUUACACUCCAUUUUCUGAAAGUUCCUAUAAAAUAUUCUGAGUUGGAAAGACUACACAAGAAUGAUCAAGUCCAACUCCUGUCUGCACAUAGGACUACCUAAAAAUUAAACCAUAAUUCUGAGAGUGUUUAAAUGCCCAUCUAGUAUGGCAGCAGCAGAGGUCUAACCAUGGCCACGUAAGGUGUCUGACUGGCUCCAGAGCCUCUCGUUUGUUCGCAUGCUAUUUUCACAAGACAAAAAAUUCCUGAUGCUGCAAUGGACUUAUGCCAUGAAGGACUGGAUCUUUCCUCCAGAAGGCAUUCACUGUGGCCCUGAGUCUUUCACUACUGCAUCACAGUUCUCGGAAUACACAGUACUUUGCCUUGACAUCUCCAAUUUCUUGAAAAGCAAAGGAAAAUUCACACAGCAGAGGGGGAAAAAAAGCAAAAAACAAAACAAAAAAACAUAAACAAAUUUUGUUCUACUUUCCCUUGAAAUUAUGUUGUUCAAUCCCUUUUUCAUGCUGAAACAUCUAUAACUCUAAUUAUUUCUCAGCACCAAAAUAACUCAUGUCUGACAGACACUCAGAGGCCUUACGAAACACAAACAUGCUGCCCUACAAACACCAACUCUUGGCUAUCAUAGAAUCACAGAAUUUCUAUGUUAUGAUAUUGACUUUCCUUGUCUUGUGUUCAGAGAGCAUGAAUAGAGGAGAUAGAGGCACUCAUGAGAACUGUUGAAGUGUGACAGUGGAGCACGAUCAAGAACUCUUGAGUUUGUGGCUCAGUACAAACUACACUCUCAUCUCUGCAUCUUGGAGCAACAACAACAUCAACCUUGUAGCCUGUUUAGUUAGAAAGAAAUUCCACAUCCAAUAUCUCCAUGUAAUUACCAUGGAACCAUCUGCAGACCUUCUGUUUAAAUCCUCUGCUCCUUCUACCCUGGGCUGCUCUGAACAUGACCUCCUGGACAGUUGCACUGACAUAAGAAGUUGCCACUGACCUGGCCUCCAUUUCAAAUGGAUUGAUCUUUUCUACCUAGAGAGGAUCAAAUAAAGUCAGUCCUGGCAGACCGUAGGAGAAUCACCUAGGAAAGUUUAAGAAUGGAUCUUCUUGGGAGUCAGUAUGCGUGAUGGAAGAUUUAACCUUGGCAGCUGGUGAAUUCCAGUACCAAAAAGUACCUGAUAAUGAGUUGUCAUCUCUCUGAAGAAGCACAGCAUAACUAUCACUAUCACACAGUUCAUGCUCUCAUGAGAGCAUUGGGUACCUUUGUUAUUGUCUCUAGAUUCUGUUAGUUAAACACUCAUCCUAGAGCAGCUGCACAAUGGACUUCAUAGACAUUUAGAGGAGGUGUGCUCAAAUCAGAUGGGUAUCCAGUAAAUGGAUGCCAAAAAACAGGACACUCUGAUACAUGAAUCUUCUUCACCAAAUGGAGGAUGCUUUUAAAAAGAUAUUUAGUUGUUUCCUUUGUACUGGGAUCCACAGGCUCUCCCACGCUCUGUCAUGAAGCUUUUUGUGAUCCUGAUCAGCACCAGCUCCUUUUACUUGACUGCAAAUUUGAAGAGAACACAUUCACAUGAAAGAUUAGCAGAAGAUCUCAAGAUGGCACCAAUCUCACCCUGCCCGUUCAAUGUCAUGCCACCAGCAGUUUCACCUGGAAAGAUGCUUGGUUAAUUCUGCUCAUAUCAAAAAGGAGCUCAGUGUAGGAGAAGCAGGAAAGCCAAGAGUGCCUACGGAUAGCAGCCUGCAGCAGACCAGUUGCCGCUUUAGUUCUUCAAUCUGUUGCGUGAAGGCCUGUUUCCCUCUGGACAGCUGAGAAAUUAAACCAUCUUUUUCGUCCGCCUGGCACUCUGCGCUCUUCAGCAGCGGCUUGAUCUUAAAGAACAGCUUCAUCCAGGGCCAGUGCUUGACAUUCAUGAAUGCACGAAUGUUGUACUGGAUGCAGAAGACAGACUCUCUAAAAGGACUCUGUUGGGAAAUCCUUUCCUGCAAAUUCUGAUCCCUUCCAGCACACCAUUACACCUCAGUUGGUGCAGAACCAGCUCAUGCUCCAUGGCACCUAGCAAUUCAGAGUAUAAAUGAGUGCUGUAUUCUGUAGCGCAGCAGAGAAGAGAUACUGAAGGUUGUCUGUGGAUGUGACUGUGGUACUUCCCACAUUCUGCCAAGUCCUUCGGCAAGAGGAGUCAUCACUGGGAAAACUGGAGAUGCGGUUCUCCAGCAGAGAGGAAACAAAUGCACCUUUCACAACAGAGUUCCCUGAGUACCUGACAGUCUUGACAGUGACCUUCCCUGUUUCCCUGCUCUGGAUUGUCCCUUUCACAAAGGAUUCCUUUGGAUGGGCCACAAAGACUGAUGACUUGGCAUCAAAAGGCUUGUUCUGGGCCUCGAUUCUUUCCUUCUCUGACUUUCGGAGGUAGGGAGCUGCCUCUCCAAAGACAGCCAUCUCAGCAUCUGAAGAAGCCAUGGCUGCUCUUCACUGAAGAUACCUCAGCAGAAUACUCUAAUGGGGAGAAGUAAUGUGGCACAGAUCAUUUAGAUAUAUUCUGUAAGACUGGGAGACUGACUGUGUCUUUGUUUUUCUUCAACCGGUACUAUAUGGAGUAGCUAACGUAUCCUACUGGAAGAUAUGAUUGACUUAGGAAACAAGAGGUCAUAACUGAUGCAGUCUAGGUGUCUAGACUUCUAGAAGAGCAACAUCUGAUCACCUUUCACAAUUGUAGGCUUGGGGCUUUAAGAACAUCGUGUCUGUAAGAUGAGUGAAGUAGCUGAGCAAGAUUUAUUUUAAGACAUCAUUACUAGCAGUUGAAAUAAAGGUGGAGCAUUUUGUUUAAAGAUGGAGAAACAUUUCUAAAAACAUGUAGUAUAAAAGAACUACAAUCUUGAAAAACAUUGAAUCUAUGGGGCAUUUACUUAUCAACUAUAAUCGUAACAGGAAGGCAGUGGAAAUUAAUGAAUUUUGCUACUGAAGUUGCCAGCAGAAAGAAAAGGGCAGGAUCUGUGACCUUUUAAUACUCUGCUGUAAUUUAAUUUGUUUAUACAUUUGUCAUUCAUGAGUACAAUAUCCAAAUAGUCUCAUCUUCAAAGUUCUGACUUGUAUGAAACAAAAUUCAUGUGCUGAAUUUGGAAUUGCCAUGCCUGUAUGGAGCUCCCAAAUAAAUACUUACUGAAAAGAUCCAGGAACAGAUCUACUGCUGCAGUGAUGUGAAGCCAGCACGCCUCACUCCCUGUUUGGUCAGUUAAGCAGAAAUGAAGAGCAUUCCAAUGGGAAUUUCCUCGUCUGCCAUUGGAGGCAGGGAGAUACAAACACAGCCAUUUGAAAACCUUGCCAGCCAUGAGCACCCCACCACCUGCCUACUGUAAUCACACCAGCUUUGAAUGCAGGGUGAAAAAGGUGAUUGUUCAUCCAUCCAGAAAUCCCACCCAAAAGCAUGAAUAAAUCAGGUUCUUACCUCUUGUGACACCAGAUGGGUGGCUUGCAGCCUGGCAGCUGGUCAGUGCUGUAAAACAGAAAUGGCAAGUCCCUACUUGCAGCUGCACAGAAUUCCAGAGUGAAAAUGUGCAGGUGUCUUGAAAGCAGAUUAAAAACUCGAGCUGAGGAAUUGAGCCUCCUCUUGGAAAUGAGCACUGGAGGCAGAGGAAUGCUGUAACACAGAAAGACUCCUGCACGGCUGCAGAUCCCAUCCACUUACCUUGAAGCUUUCCGUGGAGACAGGGCAGUCUUGCUGCAGGGACAUUUUAUACGAUCUCAUCUGCAGAUGCUACAGAUGCCUACUCUUUCUUCGGUCAAAAAAUUUUUGGCAAGCCUUCUUUGGUAAAGCAUUGUCUGGCAAACUGAACUAAGGGCAUAAUUGUCAUUUGACAUGACUAGAUAUAAUUAGAAAAUUUUGAUGUCUUACCGACUAUAUGAAUACAUCUCCUAUAAACAAUUUGACAAGGGUGUUAAGGAGGGAAUCUGGACUAGUCAAGGCACUUAGAGAACUUGGAUGCAGGACUUAUGGAUUCUAUUGCUGGCUUUCCCACCGACUCACUGUAUGACCCAGGGUGGAUCGCUUGGUCUGGACUCUUCUGGGACUAGAAGCAAAGCACCAGCAGUCUUUUAGGGACAGAUGUUUCUCUCCAAGUCUCUUGUCACAAAGUACGCGAGAAGAUCUGAAUUUAUGCAAAAGGAGAAGUGAACACUGAGUCCAAAGGAAGAGAGAAAGUUGCUUAACAUCUCAAAGAGGACAAUGGCCUGAGAAAAGCUUAUUAUUUUUUUCAGCAACAAGAGCCACAUUACGGUGCAUUUUGUGACUCACAUCACAUGUCAUGCACUGGGACCCCCAUUCAGUGUUUGAUGUCAGCAUGAGCUGCUCUUACUCCACCAGGCUGAGAGGGACAUGGCUCUCUGCAGUGUUGCCAGCCCUGCAGGAAGCUUGGAACAAGUACUGCUGCCUUCCUCACCACGGGAAGGCAUUCACGGAUUUGGGUUCUCAUUCUGAGCAGCAAAAAGUGAGCUUUCACAUGCACAGACUUUGCUUCUCAUUGUCGAUGUCAAGAGAAGUGAUGUCUUCACCUGUUCCAAGCUGAUUCCCAGCUGAACACCGACAGUUCCUGUGCAGCUGCCAUGCUCCUGGUGGCACAGCACAUCCCAGCAGAGCAGGGCAAGCACCCAGGCACUGCGCUCACACACUGCCAUUCCACCGGCUGCAGAGGGGCCUCUCCGGCCUGCUUCUGACUGUUAACAUUGCAGCUGAGAAAGGAGCUGUGCCGGACGGAGCAAGACUUUCAGGGAUAAGAAUAGCACCUGCCAUCUUAGGACACAGCGCAGUUGUCCAGCUCCUGCACGGCAACACGUUGCAGUGAGAUAUAGAAGGCAAGCUACCCGCUGAGGAAUGUCUUCGAGUGCUAUUCGUGGAGGCGUAUCAUCUACAGCAGCAGGCCCGGCCCCACGCAGGAGCCUUGCAAGAGGGGUUAUUUUGAGCCUUGGGCACUGAGGAUGAAGGGAGACAAAUGACAGUGAUCCUCCUCCUGGCACAGGCAACCUCCAGAGCUCUGUGCACAACUGCCACAGCCUGUCACUGCUUCAGGGGAUGAUUCUUGUGAAGCAGUUGGGCGAUGUGGUGGGACCUGAGAGCCCAGGAGAUGAGGGCCAGGAGGGAGCUGAGAAUUCGCUGGGGACACGGGGGCAGGCCUCAGGCCCACCUGUCCUGCAGCUCAGGCGCUCCACUGCCUGCUUUGUUUUUGACCACAUCCCUAAAGCAUCGGCAUGUAACUUUGUGCAGGUGAACACCGUGAUCAGAGGAGACACCGUUAGACUUAUGAUUUGAUAGCUGCUUCAUCUUCAGAGAAUUACCUGCCCUUUCAUAUCAGUGCUUUUGGUGCUGUCUCUUUUUUAUGUUUUAAUACAAAAUAUUUAAAAAAUAA